Molecule: ribosomal RNA, 444 nt
Filed under: uncultured bacterium
Lineage: Bacteria
Description: partial 16S ribosomal RNA
Rfam family: Bacterial small subunit ribosomal RNA
Source: RNAcentral
GUAGGGAAUAUUGGGCAAUGGUCGGAAGACUGACCCAGCCAUGCCGCGUGCAGGAAGACGGCCCUCUGGGUUGUAAACUGCUUUUAUCUGGGAAGAAAAAGGCCAUGCGUGGCAAAUUGCCGGUACCAGAUGAAUAAGCACCGGCUAACUCCGUGCCAGCAGCCGCGGUAAUACGGAGGGUGCGAGCGUUGUCCGGAUUUAUUGGGUUUAAAGGGUGCGUAGGCGGCUGAUUAAGCCAGCGGUGAAAGACUUCGGCUUAACCGGAGCAGUGCCGUUGAUACUGGUGGGCUUGAGUGUCGGAGGGGUACAUGGAAUUGAUGGUGUAGCGGUGAAAUGCAUAGAUACCAUCAGGAACACCGAUAGCGAAGGCAUUGUACUGGCCGACAACUGACGCUGAUGCACGAAAGUGUGGGGAUCGAACAGGAUUAGAAACCCGGGUAGUCC